AUGUCACUGUGCAUAAUCAGACCAGUUACUGUGCCAGUCCUUUUUGAUGCACUUCUCACGAGUACAGAAGGCCAGUACAGCAGCCCAUACCUUGAUCUACUAGUUGUAAGUGAAAACUUGAAGCAAGUUCCAUAACUGUGCUGAUCAUGUUAUUGAGAUGUGAGUCUGCCCUUCUAAAGUCACAGAAAUAAUAUGAGAGAUGUGUGCAGGUAAGUGUUGUGGUUUGAACUGGCAAGCAGCUAAACAUCACGCAGCUUUUCACACAGGCCUCCCUUCCCCAUAGUUUGGGGAGAGAAUCUGAAAAAAAAAAAAGGUAAAACUCAUGAGUUGAGUUUUACUAAGAAAGAGAAGGAAGAGAGAAGUAAUAGAAAGGAUACUAAUACAUAAGCCAGAACAUAGCAUCAUGCCAGACACUUUGAAGAAAAUCAGCUCUGUCCCAGCUGAAACCAGGAUGGUAAGAAGUUGUGUGUAGAAGUGUGGAGACAGAUUAGUUUUUCACCCUCUUUGGGAGCAAUGCAGAACUAUUUCCUUCUCACAAAUAAGAUGACAAAUGCUUCCCUCAGUCAUUUCAGUGCCAUUCUGUAGUAGGAUACCAUAGAAUCACAAAGUUGGAAAGGAACCCACAAAGAUCAUCUAGUCCAACCAAUGAUCAGCUCCAAAUCCAAGAGAAACUAAGGAUUUAACUGCCAGUGCACCUCAGACAAUUCCACAAUUUGACUGUAUGGCUCUGAAACACACAGUUCUAUAAAGCAUCCUCCAACUUUAAUGCUCUUUAAUCCAAGUAACUGUGGCAUUUUCUGCACAAUCCAUCCUAUAGACUAUCAACACCGUUUCUAAGACAUUUCUAUAUCUUCAAGUCGGGAAGAUGCAUUUUCCUAAAAGAAAGAGCACUACGAAUAGCACAAGAGUCAGUUUGAAAGCAGACACAGACAAACACAAGGACUGAGUCUCAUCACACGUUUCAGUUUGACUGAGCUCUGCUACUGAAGAGUUACCUAAUACAAGAACUUGAGUAAG
RNAcentral lists this long non-coding RNA (1017 nucleotides) under Phasianus colchicus (ring-necked pheasant). RNAcentral's name for it is "lncRNA (ENSPCLG00000013576.1)". Lineage: Eukaryota; Metazoa; Chordata; Aves; Galliformes; Phasianidae. The record is from RNAcentral.